Molecule: RNA transcript, 1929 nt
Organism: Ornithorhynchus anatinus (platypus)
Lineage: Eukaryota; Metazoa; Chordata; Mammalia; Monotremata; Ornithorhynchidae
Gene: CERKL
Gene name: ceramide kinase like
Exons: 15
Source: RefSeq, a predicted model, not a curated record
GCCCGGGACGGGGCGUUCGGGUCCUCCGCCAUGGUCCGCGGCAGGCGCGGCCCCUCCUCCCGCGCCCGAGUGAGCGCCUGCGGGGCCGGCCCGGGGCCCGGGAAGGGAGCGGCCCGGCUCCGGGGCAUCUUCCACAUCGGCAAGAGGAGCUGCGACGUGGUCCUCACCGACACGGCCCUCGCCUGGAGGCCCAUCCGACCCCAACCGCCCCGCGGUGAUUCCGAGGCAUCCCCUGCUGAGAAGGAGGAAUUGCUUGAGCUCAAGGACAUAUUCUCAGUGAAACUGAAAAGGCGACGUUCAGCAAAACGGCAAAGUGGUGGUACUUUGUUAGGGAUCACACUUUUUGUAUGCAAGAAAAAAGAGCAGAAUAAGCUAGAAGAUUACACCGUUCAUCUUCACAAUUUAAGUGAGGACCACUGUGAUUUGUGGUUUAGACAUUUAAAGACAAUCUUAACCGGUUUUCCGAACAGGCCCAAAUCCCUAAAAGUACUCAUUAACCCGCAGAGCCAUAAAAAAGAAGCUACCCAGGUCUAUUAUGAAAAGGUUGCUCCUCUGCUCCACCUCGCUGGGAUAAAAACCGAUGUCUUGGUAACAGAAUAUGCUGGACAUGCUCUAUCACUGCUUAAGGAAUGUGAUCUCCAGGAAUUCGAUGGGAUUCUGUGUGUCGGUGGUGAUGGGUCCGCUAGCGAAGUGGCCAACGGGCUACUUCUUAGAGCCCAGAUGGAUGCUGGGAAGGACACGGAUUACAUCCUCACGCCUGUCAGAACGACACUUCCUCUCGGCAUAAUACCAGCAGGUUCCACCAAUGUACUGGCACAUUCUCUUCAAGGCAUCACUCAUGUAGUGACGGCAACUCUGCACGUUAUAAUGGGACACGUAAAACCAGUAGAUGUCUGCGUAUUCAGUAGCAUGCAGAACUUUCUUCGCUGUGGAUUCUCAGCUACCUUUGGCUUUGGCGGAAGGACUCUGGCUUGGGCAGAGAAGAAUCGUUGGAUGCCUGCUACGCAACGAAGACAUUUUGCUGUGGUUAAGACGUUGACAAAUCUCAAGCCUACGGACUGUGAAAUAUCAUUUUUACCACUGAGUAACUCACAGGACGUUCAAAGUACCAACCGAGAGAACCAUAGAAUUCCCCAAUUAGACCGUGAUGAUCCAUGGCAGAAGGUCCAAGGAUCAUUCUUAAACGUCAGCAUCGUGGCAUCACCCUGCUUACGUUCAAUGGCACCAGGAGGUGUGGCUCCAAACCCCAGGUUAAAUAAUGGAAGCAUGGCUCUUAUUAUUUCCCGAAACACCUCUCGACCAGAAUUUAUCAAGCACCUGAAAAGAUACUCCAGUGUAAAAAAUCAGUUUAGUUUUCCAUUUAUUGAGACAUAUAAUGUAAAGGAAGUAAUAGUCCGGCCAAGAAAUAACAACAGCGGACGUGUCACGGAAGAAGAAGCUACAGAGAACAAUCACCUAUGGAACAUAGAUGGGGAUUUAAUGGAAGUGUCAUCGGAGGUUCACGUUAGAAUCCACCCUCAGCUUAUCCACUGUUAUGGAGAGAGCUCAGAAGAAUUAAGUGAUCCCAAGGUAGCCUGUGACUGCUUCUAGAAGAAAUUUAUGAAGUAAAAUCAUAUACUCCAAACACUGAACUGAGCACUCGGGAAGACACACCUGAUUCUAUUCUUGAGGAGCUUGCACUCUAGUAAGAGGAGCCAGGCACUAAAAGAAUUUCCAAACAGGAGAAAAAGGAACCCAAGAAUAUGCUCUGCAUUAUUACAACAGAAACAGGCUCAGUGUAAUUUCCUUCGUGGUUGAACAGAAAGUUCCAGAGAGACCAUUUUCACGACAGUGUUUGGCAUGGCAAAGAGUGAAUCCCUAUUUCCCAGAGUUCAGCAUUUAUUCUGUGGAAUGACCAAGUGGAUAAAUGAAAACAAAGAUACCUGGACA